UACGGGGGGGGCAAGCGUUGUUCGGAAUUACUGGGCGUAAAGGGUGCGUAGGCGGCUCUCUAAGUCGGAUGUGAAAACUCUGGGCUCAACCCAGAGCCUGCAUCCGAAACUGGAGAGCUAGGGUUCUGGAGGGGAAAGCGGAAUUCCUGGUGUAGCGGUGAAAUGCGUAGAUAUCAGGAGGAACACCAGUGGCGAAGGCGACUACCUGGCCUGUUCUUGACGCUGAGGCGCGAAAGCUAGGGGAGCAAACGGG
RNAcentral lists this ribosomal RNA (253 nucleotides) under uncultured bacterium. RNAcentral describes it as "partial 16S ribosomal RNA". It matches the Rfam family "Bacterial small subunit ribosomal RNA", at positions 524 to 776 of the family's 1533-position model. The record is from RNAcentral.